CCUAGGGGAGGCAGCAGUGGGGAAUAUUGGGCAAUGGACGAAAGUCUGACGCAGCGACGCCUCGUGAGGGAUGAAGGUCUUCGGAUUGUAAACCUCUUUCAGCAGGGAAGAAGCGAAAGUGACGGUACCUGCAGAAGAAGCACCGGCUAACUAUGUGCCAGCAGCCGCGG
This 170-nucleotide ribosomal RNA is filed under the name uncultured bacterium. Its description in RNAcentral is "partial 16S ribosomal RNA". It matches the Rfam family "Bacterial small subunit ribosomal RNA", at positions 338 to 520 of the family's 1533-position model. The record is from RNAcentral.